Long non-coding RNA from Fukomys damarensis (Damara mole-rat), 478 nucleotides. RefSeq lists it as uncharacterized. The record is from RefSeq and is a predicted model, not a curated record. The transcript is spliced from 3 exons. NCBI's taxonomy places the organism in Eukaryota, Metazoa, Chordata, Mammalia, Rodentia, Bathyergidae.
AAAGGUUAGGAUCAUUUAGGGCUGUAUUGGAGAAUGGCUACCACAAGCCGCAAGGAAGAAACCAUGAGAGAGAGAAAGAUAACCAAAAGGAAACUGAGAAAGAGCUCUCGGUAAAGACAAAAAUUACGAAUAGCCUUAAGGCCGUAAUAAGGACCUAAGAGAAUACCUGUGACCUCCACAUCGAUGAUGCCAGAGUUGGGAGAGAAAGCAACCACCACUACAGAGGCUGCGGGGAAAUGUGUCCUUAGGGAGCAGUCAAAUUGGCCUUAGAGCAAGAAGGUGGAAGAUGACGGGGAUAUCAUGGCGACUCUGAAUUCAGAAAACACAAUGGAUACGUUUCAGGACUUGGGGAGGGCUUCCUGAAAGGGGUAAGGCAGUGGAUUUACACUGGGGUCUCAUGCACACCGUCUCUUAGGAACUUCCUGAAAAUUCAUGUUCUUGAGCCUGACUGCAGCGCUUACUGAAUCAGAAAUGAAUU